Molecule: long non-coding RNA, 324 nt
Organism: Ornithodoros turicata
Lineage: Eukaryota; Metazoa; Arthropoda; Arachnida; Ixodida; Argasidae
Exons: 3
Source: RefSeq, a predicted model, not a curated record
UGUUACGAAAGCAAUGCGCAACUUGUUUCACAAGAAGCCGGAGAUGUCUCGUCCGGGAUGCUGUGCCAACCUUAUCUGCAGCAGGAGAUUGCAGGGGCAGGACUAGGCAGCAGAUAAAGGCAUUCUGGCACCACCGAAAAGCUUGCACUCCACGUCUCAACUAUCACCGUCUGGGUUUCAAGCUGAAGGCUGUCACCAGUGCCAACCAGACGCCCCUUCAAAGUUCAUCUGUUUUUGUUGACGGAACAGUGACACCUGGUAAACCUGUCACGCAGAUGCCCUACCCCUUGGUAUGCAUAGUUCAAGAUUGUACUGAAACAAUCC